UGGAAUAACAACUUUCCUGUAAGUUUGUUGUGACAAGUAGAGAAAAUAUGAUAUGAGAAUUGCCUUAAGAAACUCCACGUUCUCACACUGGGGUAUCAGAGGCACAGGCAAGAACCAGCGAGCAGGUGGAUGGAGGCGAAGAUCAGAUACGAGAAAGAUGCGAGCACAGCCUCUUGCUGGGCCCCAGAGCGUUCUGGAUGCUGGAUCAGGAGAAAUCCAGUUUUCUACAGUGCUGCGUCUGAGAAAGCCUGGAUCUUUCAGCCACACCGCCCAGAGAGCAGAGUGUGACCCGG
RNAcentral lists this long non-coding RNA (293 nucleotides) under Pan troglodytes (chimpanzee). RNAcentral describes it as "long non-coding RNA NONPTRT016917". The record is from RNAcentral. Lineage: Eukaryota; Metazoa; Chordata; Mammalia; Primates; Hominidae.